AUAUUAUGGCUAGGGCUUCUUGUUUGCCGCAUGUCUGCCUUUGAUAAGAACAAUAGUGAGUUCACCGUUUAUAGCAUUAUGUAAUGUUGUUAAACAAGUUGUUUUUAUGUCCAUUUAAUCAAGAAUAAGGAUUGCUAGGUAGCUUUUAAGUCCUGAUUAAUUCCUAUACUGAUUUUAAUCUGUGCCACAUUUUAAAUCUGGAAUUGUCACAUAGCUAUGUUCAUAUCAGUAAUAAGAUUUUUAUAUUUCUAUUUUUGUCUGUUUUUUGUAAAACAAUAUCAGCCAUUGGCUUCUGUUUUGUAUUUGAUUUAAACUUAAAUAAUUCAGAGAUUCAGUUGAAACAAAUUCAGUUAUGAAUGCACUAAAUAAGCAUGGAAUCAGAAUACAUACUUCAGGAUCUUCGAAGAUACAGUAUAUACUCAGACUUCUUCAAUCCAGUCAAGAUGCACAAAGACAGCAAGAAGAUAAUGUUAAAGAAGGGAGUACUCUAUAUCACCUAAAUCUUCGAAACUCUACAUUGGACAGGAAAGGGAAUCAUCAUAAACGGUGAACAUUUAAAUCAUCUGAGAUUCGCAGAUGAUAUUGUAAUUAUAUCAAAAAACAUCAGUAACCUUGAGGUCACAAUGAUCCAAGAACUAGAUGUGGCCAGCAGACUAACUGGGUUAAAAACGAAUGAGAAAUACGAAAGUCAUGACAGGACUAACAACCGAUCCAAAAAAGAUUCAGGUGAGGGGAACUGAAAUAGAACAGGUAGAAGAGUAUAUAUAUCAUGGACAGCGCUUUGUGAACAAAGUCAAGACAACGAAAUAAGAAUUAAAGCAGGUUGGCAAGUUAUGGAAGAUACGGCUCCUUAUGAAAAGCAGGCAUCAACACAGCAUAACAUGGAAAGAUAUAUACUAAACAUUACUUAUAAAGACAGAAAAACAAAUGGAUUAGAGAACAGACACAAGUACAAGACAUUCUCAAAACCAUCAAGAGCAGAAAAUGGAACUGGGCUGGACACACCAGCCGUAGACAUGACGGGCGGUGGAGCUUGCUACUCGCAUACAUAUGAGAUAAAAUAGAAGUGAAAUGAUACCAAAGGGCACAAAAGAGACAUUAACUGGAGAAUACAUACAUAAGCUUUCAUUCUGCAGUGGAUAGAUAAUGCCUAAAAAAGUAAAGUAAAAUUGAUACAGCAACAGGUCUACUCAAGUUGAUGGUAUGCUGUUUAUAUAUAGCUGUGCCUCAUUUAACUGAAUAUAUAAGCAUGUAGUCAAGAAAAUGAAAGAUGAAAAUCAGCUUCUACUAAAGAAACCCAGAUUAAUGUGAAAUACGAUGAUCUUUUGAAAAUAUUGAGGUGUUUUAAAAACGCAAAAUUGUACCCGUCAGUGGAAAGUAAGAGUGAUCAGCAUAUAAAAGGCUAAAGUGAAGAAAAAUAUCACUAAAUGUUACCCAUAUGGGUAAAGCCUGGCACUCCCUGAUACGAUUCCAUGGAGAAUGCAACGCUACAACCCGCGUGCAACAGAUCAUAUUUAUUGACGAUCCGUUCAGACUGCCAGUGACAAUCAGCUGACGGUAUUGGCAUAGCCCGGCUUUAUAUGGGUCCCAGAGGCAACGAAACUAGGUUGAGGUGGUAUGGUAGUGCAUACAUGUAGUAUUUAGUUGUGCCUGGUUGUGUGUAGUAGCAUGACUGCAUAUAUAACAAAGCAUGAUAUUUAUAUGCUCUGUUCAGUUGUUUUGCUACCAUAACCAUAUUACCCUCAUCAUCAUGUCCAAAGUCAUAUUAUAGUAGGCAUUAAGCACUUGAAAAUUUGCUUGAGGAAGUUCAACAUUUAAUUUAUCACAAGAUAAACUUUCAAAUAUGUGGCAAAGACAGCCAAACCAAUCACUCAUCGCAAAUCAUGUUUCAGAGAUAAUGGCCAAAACAUGCUGAAAU
RNAcentral lists this long non-coding RNA (1918 nucleotides) under Anneissia japonica. RNAcentral describes it as "uncharacterized LOC117114313, transcript variant X2". The record is from RNAcentral. Lineage: Eukaryota; Metazoa; Echinodermata; Crinoidea; Comatulida; Comatulidae.